RNAcentral lists this transfer RNA (76 nucleotides) under Collybiopsis luxurians FD-317 M1. RNAcentral's name for it is "tRNA-Ser (GGA) (tRNA-Ser-GGA-1-1)". It matches the Rfam family "tRNA". Rfam says of the family: Transfer RNA (tRNA) molecules are approximately 80 nucleotides in length. Lineage: Eukaryota; Fungi; Basidiomycota; Agaricomycetes; Agaricales; Omphalotaceae. The record is from Rfam by way of RNAcentral.
GGUUAAGUAGCUCAGUUGGUUAGAGCAGUGCCCCCGGAAAGUGGCAGGGACCUGGGUUCAAUCCCCAGCUUGGUCA